GGUCAAUGGCCGGAAGGCUGAACCAGCCAAGCCGCGUGAAGGACGAAGGUGCCAAGCAUUGUAAACUUCUUUUGUCAAGGGACAAAAUCAGGCUCGAGAGCCUGACCGAGGGUACUUGAAGAAAAACGCAUCGGCUAACUCCGUCGCC
Molecule: ribosomal RNA, 148 nt
Filed under: uncultured bacterium
Lineage: Bacteria
Description: partial 16S ribosomal RNA
Rfam family: Bacterial small subunit ribosomal RNA
Source: RNAcentral